GUCCAGUAGUCAGUCUGGUGAGGUCCAGUAGAGUCAGUCUGGUGAGGUCCAGUAGAGUCGGUCUGGUGAGGUCCAGUAGAGUCAGUCUGGUGAGGUCCAGUAGAGUCAGUCUGGUGAGGUCCAGUAGUCAGUCUGGUGAGGUCCAGUAGAGUCAGUCUGGUGAGGUCCAGUAAUCAGUCUAGUGAGGUCCAGUAAUCAGUCUGGUGAGGUCCAGUAGAGUCAGUCUGGUGAGGUCCAGUAGUCAGUCUGGUGAGGUCCAUUAGUCAGUCUGGUGAGGUCCAGUAGAGUCAGUCUGGUGAGGUCCAGUUAGUCAGUCUGGUGAGGUCCAGUAGAGUCAGUCUGGUGAGGUUCAGUAGAGUCAGUCUGGUGAGGUCCAGUAGAGUCAGUCUGGUGAGGUCCAGUAGAGUCAGUCUGGUGAGGUCCAGUAGAGUCAGUCUGGUGAGG
Long non-coding RNA from Oncorhynchus tshawytscha (Chinook salmon), 444 nucleotides. The record is from Ensembl. Lineage: Eukaryota; Metazoa; Chordata; Actinopteri; Salmoniformes; Salmonidae.